AUCCAGGAUUGGGAAUCAAACCCACAGUGUUGCACUUACGGCCAGAUGCCAUGUCCACUAGACUACCCUGGA
Molecule: non-coding RNA, 72 nt
Organism: Cordylochernes scorpioides
Lineage: Eukaryota; Metazoa; Arthropoda; Arachnida; Pseudoscorpiones; Chernetidae
Source: the annotation of a GenBank genome assembly